UGGGGAAUUUUCCGCAAUGGGCGAAAGCCUGACGGAGCAAUGCCGCGUGGAGGUGGAAGGCCUACGGGUCGUCAACUUCUUUUCUCGGAGAAGAAACAAUGACGGUAUCUAAGGAAUAAGCAUCGGCUAACUCUGUGCCAG
RNAcentral lists this ribosomal RNA (141 nucleotides) under uncultured bacterium. RNAcentral's name for it is "partial 16S rRNA". It matches the Rfam family "Bacterial small subunit ribosomal RNA", at positions 355 to 511 of the family's 1533-position model. The record is from RNAcentral.